This 422-nucleotide ribosomal RNA is filed under the name uncultured bacterium. Its description in RNAcentral is "bacterial SSU rRNA". It matches the Rfam family "Bacterial small subunit ribosomal RNA", at positions 355 to 774 of the family's 1533-position model. The record is from RNAcentral.
UGAGGAAUAUUGGUCAAUGGAGGCAACUCUGAACCAGCCAAGUCGCGUGAAGGAUGAAGGUCUUAUGGAUUGUAAACUUCUUUUAUACAGGAAUAAAUUGGGGGACGUGUCCCCCUUUGCAUGUACUGUAUGAAUAAGGAUCGGCUAACUCCGUGCCAGCAGCCGCGGUAAUACGGAGGAUCCGAGCGUUAUCCGGAUUUAUUGGGUUUAAAGGGUGCGCAGGCGGGAUGUUAAGUCGGCUGUUAAAUUUUGCAGCUCAACUGUAAAAGUGCCUUCGAUACUGGCUUCCUUGAGUGCUGAUGAAGUAGGCGGAAUUUGUGGUGUAGCGGUGAAAUGCUUAGAUAUCACGAGGAACUCCGAUUGCGCAGGCAGCUUACUAAGCCACUACUGACGCUCAUGCACGAAGGCGUGGGGAUCAAACA